GAUGAAGAACGUAGCGAAAUGCGAUAAGUAAUGCGAAUUGCAGAAUCCGUGAGUCAUCGAAUCUUUGAACGCACAUUGCGCCCUCUGGUAUUCCGGAGGGCAUGCCUGUUCGAGCGUCAUUAUCACCCCUCAAGCCCGGCUUGUUGUUGGAUGCAGCACUUAUCCCGCUCCUCCCAAAGAUAAUGACGGCGUCUGCGACGACUCCUGUACACUGAGCUUUCGGGCACGUACACGGCUAGAAGUCCAGACCCGGUCGCCGUCCCCCCGCGGGGACACCCAUUACCACAAGGUUGACCUCGGAUCAGGUAGGAAUACCCGCUGAACUUAAGCAUAUCAAUAAGCGGAGGA
Molecule: unclassified non-coding RNA, 348 nt
Filed under: soil metagenome
Description: partial contains 5.8S ribosomal RNA, internal transcribed spacer 2, and large subunit ribosomal RNA
Rfam family: 5.8S ribosomal RNA (bases 1-119)
Source: RNAcentral